Molecule: long non-coding RNA, 407 nt
Organism: Centropristis striata (black sea bass)
Lineage: Eukaryota; Metazoa; Chordata; Actinopteri; Perciformes; Serranidae
Exons: 3
Source: RefSeq, a predicted model, not a curated record
ACAAUGUUCAAAUCGCAGGUCUACAUGAGAUAAAAUUAAAAGGCUCUUUAGAAUUAGAGUGCUCUGCUGAUUCUGUACCACGUGCUACUUACGUCUGGAAACUGAAUGGAACAGAGAUAGACACAUCUUAUGUUUUCACUAAAGACAACGCUGAAUUCAACGACAGCGGCAGCUACGUCUGUGAAGCAACGAACGCUAUAACUGAGAGAACAUCAUCGUCUGCAGUCCAUGAAUUGUCUGUAACAGAAGAACUCCCAGUAGUAACAUCAGGCUGUUCGGGUGGUUGCAUCGCUGGAAUAGUAAUCACAGUUUUAGUGGUGUGUGCAGCAGCAGCUGGUGGUGGAGGGUACUACUUUUAUAAAAAAAAAAUCAACAACAAACCUCUGCCACAUUCUGGUAAUAAAGGU